This 1130-nucleotide ribosomal RNA is filed under the name Escherichia coli. RNAcentral describes it as "partial 23S ribosomal RNA". It matches the Rfam family "Bacterial large subunit ribosomal RNA", at positions 757 to 1869 of the family's 2925-position model. Lineage: Bacteria; Pseudomonadati; Pseudomonadota; Gammaproteobacteria; Enterobacterales; Enterobacteriaceae. The record is from RNAcentral.
UAACACUAACUGGAGGACCGAACCGACUAAUGUUGAAAAAUUAGCGGAUGACUUGUGGCUGGGGGUGAAAGGCCAAUCAAACCGGGAGAUAGCUGGUUCUCCCCGAAAGCUAUUUAGGUAGCGCCUCGUGAAUUCAUCUCCGGGGGUAGAGCACUGUUUCGGCAAGGGGGUCAUCCCGACUUACCAACCCGAUGCAAACUGCGAAUACCGGAGAAUGUUAUCACGGGAGACACACGGCGGGUGCUAACGUCCGUCGUGAAGAGGGAAACAACCCAGACCGCCAGCUAAGGUCCCAAAGUCAUGGUUAAGUGGGAAACGAUGUGGGAAGGCCCAGACAGCCAGGAUGUUGGCUUAGAAGCAGCCAUCAUUUAAAGAAAGCGUAAUAGCUCACUGGUCGAGUCGGCCUGCGCGGAAGAUGUAACGGGGCUAAACCAUGCACCGAAGCUGCGGCAGCGACGCUUAUGCGUUGUUGGGUAGGGGAGCGUUCUGUAAGCCUGCGAAGGUGUGCUGUGAGGCAUGCUGGAGGUAUCAGAAGUGCGAAUGCUGACAUAAGUAACGAUAAAGCGGGUGAAAAGCCCGCUCGCCGGAAGACCAAGGGUUCCUGUCCAACGUUAAUCGGGGCAGGGUGAGUCGACCCCUAAGGCGAGGCCGAAAGGCGUAGUCGAUGGGAAACAGGUUAAUAUUCCUGUACUUGGUGUUACUGCGAAGGGGGGACGGAGAAGGCUAUGUUGGCCGGGCGACGGUUGUCCCGGUUUAAGCGUGUAGGCUGGUUUUCCAGGCAAAUCCGGAAAAUCAAGGCUGAGGCGUGAUGACGAGGCACUACGGUGCUGAAGCAACAAAUGCCCUGCUUCCAGGAAAAGCCUCUAAGCAUCAGGUAACAUCAAAUCGUACCCCAAACCGACACAGGUGGUCAGGUAGAGAAUACCAAGGCGCUUGAGAGAACUCGGGUGAAGGAACUAGGCAAAAUGGUGCCGUAACUUCGGGAGAAGGCACGCUGAUAUGUAGGUGAAGUCCCUCGCGGAUGGAGCUGAAAUCAGUCGAAGAUACCAGCUGGCUGCAACUGUUUAUUAAAAACACAGCACUGUGCAAACACGAAAGUGGACGUAUACGGUGUGACGCCUGCCCGGUGC